Molecule: long non-coding RNA, 1165 nt
Filed under: Eucalyptus grandis
Lineage: Eukaryota; Viridiplantae; Streptophyta; Magnoliopsida; Myrtales; Myrtaceae
Description: long non-coding RNA (EGRA_LNC006908)
Source: RNAcentral
GUUCAGCCCGUUCGAUGCGGGUCGGGUCCGGUCUACGACCGGACCCGAUUUCGGCCUAGUCGGCGGCAACGGGCCCGAGUGGGCCCAAAAUUCUUUUUUUUUUUAAUAGUUUAGUCAAGGCCCAAAGAAAAUUAAAAGACCCACAUAUUUCCUAAGCCCGCAAGAGCCCAGCCCAAUUUACCUGAAUCUGAAGCCCGGCCCGGAGACAAACCCAAGCCUGACCCACUUCGAAGACCAAACCCUACCCGGUUUGGAGGGUUGCUUGACCCGGUUCUGACCCGAUUUGAGCCUCCUUCUCCAAGGCUUCUUGGCGGCACUGACACCGGGCAGCGAUGGCGGCGACGGCGACGGCGCAGCGGGUGGCGGCGGCACGAGCAGCAACGGCGCGGUGCUGGUGCCGCGACGGGAUCGAAGGAGCGGCGUCAGCGGCAGUGGGUAGCGGCGGCGUCGCGGCUUCGGGCAGAGGAGCGGCUCGGACGGCGUCGUAGGGGCGGCCAGAGGGCGGCAGGAGGAGGCUCUUGCAGAGGGUCGCGGAAGCUCGGGCUGCAGGCGAGUCGAGGCGCAGCGGUGGUGGCGCGGCGGCAGAUGAUGCGGCGAAGGGGAAAGACUCCCAGAUCUGAUCGAGCGUGAUCAGAUCUGGGCCUUUGGCGGAUCUCCAGCGCGACGGGGCGGACUGGUGCUAGCUGCAGGAGCGGCCGAGACCGGCGGAGGGCGCGGAAACAGCGACAGCGGGGCGGAGCUUCAGACGGUUGCAGGGCGGCAGCGGCGCGGCGACCGGUUCAGAUCUGCUAGCGUCGGGGGGCGCUAGCGCGGCGUCAAGUGGGCAGAGGCAGGGACGCUGGAGGUGAGCUACUGCAGGAGUCGCUGAGAGGUGCUGCAGCGGCAGGUAGCGGAGCGGCGAGCACUGGACGGAGGUGGCGCGAGGUCGACGGGCGACGCUCGGGCGGAGAGGGCGUCGGGUGCCUGGUGGAGGUGGCGCGAGCGUCGGGUCGUCGCAGCUGCAGCGGGGGUCACGGACGCGCGGGCUGCAGGCGAGUCGGGGCGCGGCGGUGGUGGCGCUGUGCUCGCGGACGAGCGGCUCCGCCGCGCGGCGGCCGACGCAGCGAAGGCUUCCCGCGGCCGCGGGGCGGAGCCGCUGAGGCUCCUUCCUUCCUCUCUGUUUUUU